AUUGAACGCUGGCGGCAGGCCUAACACAUGCAAGUCGAGCGGAGCGGCGGACGGGGGAGGAAUGCCUAGGUAUCUGCCUGGUAGUGGGGGAUAACGUCAGGAAACGGGCGCUGAUACUGCUUCCUAUCAGCAUCGCCUAGGUCGGGUUAGCUAGUUGGUGGGGUAAAGGCCUACCAAGGCGACGAUCCGUAACUGGUCUGAGAGGAUGAUGAGGCAACCUGGAACUGAGACACGGUCCAGACUCCUACGGGAGGCAGCAGUGGGGAAUAUUGGACAAUGGGCGAAAGCCUGAUCCAGCCAUGCCGCGUGUGUGAAGAAGGUCUUCGGAUUGUAAAGCACUUUAAGUUGGGAGGCGUUACCAACAGAAUAAGCACCGGCUAACUUCGUGCCAGCAGCCGCGGUAAUAC
This 407-nucleotide ribosomal RNA is filed under the name uncultured bacterium. Its description in RNAcentral is "partial 16S ribosomal RNA". It matches the Rfam family "Bacterial small subunit ribosomal RNA", at positions 30 to 526 of the family's 1533-position model. The record is from RNAcentral.